GGGGCGCGGCUGUGUUCCAGUAAAACUCUACUUGCAGAGACAGGUGGCAUGCCAGAUUUGGCUCAGGGACUGUAAUUUGCCAACCCCUGAUUUAAACCUUUGAUGAAUUGUGAUAUCAAGGGCUAUGUUUGAAAACACAUCUGGCACUUUGGCGAAGUUUGGUCAUGGAUUGAAAACUGGACCCUGCCUGUUACCAUGAAAACAAGCAUAAAACUGGUUGUCAGGGAAACUAGAUUCUUGUCCUGGUUCAUUGACUUGGCCCUGAGAAGCCAUGUUCCUUAUCUCAGCCUCGGCUUCCUCAUGAAUAAGGCACCAGUGCUUUCCCAUGAACUUUGUCUAUCUUAGGAGAAUCCUGGUUGGCCAGCACGAGGAGGAGAGGGAGCAGAGGAGGGUGAGAAAAGAGCCUGCAGCGUGCCCUUCUGUCUGAAACAAUGAACAGCCCAUCACACGAAGAGCUAGAAAACAACCCAGGAGAAGGAGGCAUUCUGCCGCAUGAAUAGGGAGAUGUCAUUAGCAGGGUUGCCUCCCCACUCUCUCCAGCAUAGAAGACGUACUGCCUGACAGCGCCCGAUCCUCCAAUCUCCCUGAAGCUGUCUCCUUAGGUCUCCUCACUCCUCAAGAGAAGUGGAACUUUCUUGGAUUGGGAAAGUCCCUUACCUGGGCCACUGGAAGGAUCCAAAUGUUGGACAGCAACCACACUCUGCAGGACACAGACUUGGCGUCAGUGUAGACACCGCCUUAGUGGUUCCUCUUGUAAACUGAGCCUUGCAGUGCAGACGUGUGACCAAGGUUAUCCCUGGAAAGAACGUCAUGGGCCUCAGUGGAAAGUUGCUGGACAAGCCCCAGACUGUGUUAUGAAACAAACCCUUGUUUCCAGGGUGGGACACUUGCUGAAUGAUCUGUGUUAUGUGGUUGCAAGUAAGAAUGACAAAAAUAAAGCAUCCUUAAUUUCUGGGAAAGUCAGUGCUCGAACUUCAAGAAUGAGUUAUUGAGGGAGGGGAUGACGUCUCCUGGGUUGGGAGGUCUACUGGAGAAAGCCCAAUAGCUUUCCCAACUGGGGCCGCUUCAUCACCCCUGGGGACUGAGCUGUGUUUCUUGGGCUGGAGAACAGAAGGAGCCGGUAGUUCAUCAUGUUGACAGCCAGUCAUGGGGGCCUGGAGGCCUGUGUUCCCAAUCACAGGGUUCCUGCCUUCUCUUCUCCCACCAAAUCCUUGCCUGGGGCCCCUGCCUCUCCCUGGUGAGAUUUCUGCUUUCAAAUCCC
This 1261-nucleotide long non-coding RNA is filed under the name Equus caballus (horse). Its description in RNAcentral is "lncRNA (ENSECAG00000038114.3)". The record is from RNAcentral. Lineage: Eukaryota; Metazoa; Chordata; Mammalia; Perissodactyla; Equidae.